GUCCCCAUCGUCUAGAGGCCUAGGACACCACCCUUUCACGGUGGGUACGGGGGUUCGAAUCCCCCUGGGGACGCCA
This 76-nucleotide transfer RNA is filed under the name Affinundibacterium macrobrachii. RNAcentral describes it as "Undibacterium macrobrachii tRNA-Glu". It matches the Rfam family "tRNA". Rfam says of the family: Transfer RNA (tRNA) molecules are approximately 80 nucleotides in length. Lineage: Bacteria; Pseudomonadati; Pseudomonadota; Betaproteobacteria; Burkholderiales; Oxalobacteraceae. The record is from RNAcentral. RNAcentral also lists the same sequence under 6 other names.